This 254-nucleotide ribosomal RNA is filed under the name uncultured bacterium. Its description in RNAcentral is "partial 16S ribosomal RNA". It matches the Rfam family "Bacterial small subunit ribosomal RNA", at positions 524 to 776 of the family's 1533-position model. The record is from RNAcentral.
CACGUAGGGGGCAAGCGGUGUCCGGAUGCAUUGGGCGUAAAGAGCUCGUAGUCGGUUCGAUAAGGCGGGUGGGAAACCUCCAGGCUCAACCUGGAGACGCCACCCGAUACUGUCGUGACUAGAGUCCAGUAGGGGAGCGUGGAAUUCCUGGUGUAGCGGUGAAAUGCGCAGAUAUCAGGAGGAACACCAGCGGCGAAGGCGGCGCUCUGGGCUGGAACUGACGCUGAGGAGCGAAAGCGUGGGGAGCGAACAGG